RNAcentral lists this transfer RNA (69 nucleotides) under Sphaerodactylus townsendi. RNAcentral's name for it is "tRNA-Thr". The record is from RNAcentral. Lineage: Eukaryota; Metazoa; Chordata; Lepidosauria; Squamata; Sphaerodactylidae.
GCCAUGACUCAGUUGUAGAGUUUCUGUUUUGUAUACAGAAGGGCCCAGUUUCAGUUUCUGGCAUCUGCA